This is an RNA transcript of Venturia canescens, 3758 nucleotides long. It is a transcript of the gene named acidic phospholipase A2 PA4-like, with no coding region annotated. The transcript is spliced from 6 exons. The record is from RefSeq and is a predicted model, not a curated record. Lineage: Eukaryota; Metazoa; Arthropoda; Insecta; Hymenoptera; Ichneumonidae.
GAACACUCUCUUUGGAUAAAACUGUUACAAGGUCCGUCUACGGGGUUAUCGAUUCGAGUAAAUGUUCCCUUGAACUUAACGCGACGCGUAGAUCCACGAGCAGUUUGUCGAAUGAGAAAUUUUACGUUCCGAGUCAAUUGAAUUAUUUUCACUCAAGAGUGGAGAUUCCUGGUUUGUUUGUUGUCUUCACAUACGUACGAACGAUGAAGCCAUCGAAUUUCUUGAAACGUCAAACCAGUUUUCCACCAGCUCAACCAACGUUUUUUUUUAAUUUCGCCUCACGUUAUCUUGUGAAAUAAUGAAUAAUUAGCUCAUCUUCCAAAUAUCGAAGUUCGUACAACAACAAAGGUUUGAUUAGAAGAAGAAUAGCCGAAAUCACACGAUGAAAAUUUAUCAGCCCCUUCGGAGCAGUACGCUAUCUGUACUGUCACCGGCUAUUUUUUUUCAUCAUAGCUCGCGUGUGACGGCCGGAUCAAGAUAUUAUAGCGUCCUGACGUUCCAUUCAAACGAUCAGUUCGACAGUGACCGUGGCCGAGUAACAACAAGAUUCGAUGGUCCAAGAAUAGACAAAAAAACAUCAGAGCGAACCAAUUUCUUCUCGCGCGAUAAGAACUGGACACACACGAUAUAUUUUUUGGCUCGGAUUGAACUUAUUGGCUUAUUUUUCGAUUCUUCCUGCAAAUCCGAAGCGAUAUAAACAAAGCCGCAGUAUCGUCAUCGGAACUUCUCGCCUCCGUUCGUGCUCUUCAUUUUUUAUCCUUUCCGUCGCGAAUAUAAGAACAGUGCCAAUAUUUUAUACACUCGUGGGACACCAUAUAUUUUUCGAUAGCAUCACUCGGAUAUAAUUCGCCGGGAUGAUUGGUUUAACGUUGGUUUUCUCGACGAUACUCCUUUGGGGGCUGGAGGUCGAAUCGAGCGUACUCGUCGCCGACAUGACGAUGUCGAGGAUGGUCGAGCUCAACGCGGGUGCUCCGUUCUGUGCUCUUUAUCACGAUCGUGGAAUAAUUCAGCAGAUGAUCCUCGGCGCGGAUCCGAAAAAAGUUCGACAGAUGUCGAGCAAUCUCAUCGACGAUCUCGAGGAGACCUGCAAAGAGUCGAGAAACAAGGGAAAAAAUCAACCGCCGGGAGGAGGAUUGAUUUAUCCAGGAACAAAGUGGUGCGGCCCAGGAAAUAUCGCCGCUUCGUACGACGAUUUGGGUCAUCACGCGAACGAGGAUGCCUGCUGUCGGGAGCACGACCAUUGUCCCGUCGUCAUACUACCGCGAUCGUGUAUUCAUGGAAUUUGCAAUACUUCUCCGUUCACUCGUUCUCACUGUGAUUGCGAUGCCAAAUUUCGACGUUGCCUUCAAAAUUUGAACACCGAGGUUGCCAACACCCUGGGGGCGCUUUUCUUCAACGUCGUACAGGUCACCUGUUUCAAGGAGCGACGUCCGUGCUCCCAAUGGCAGAGCAGCUCGUGCGCUAAUUUUAGCAACGAAAUACAAUGGAAACGUUCACCGAGGUACUAUCCGGCGGACAGCGAACGUAGUUGGACGAUUGGAAGAAGGAACUCGCUGUUGAACACACUUUUUAGCGUCGUUGCGGAUGGCGUGAGAGCUCGGAGACGAACACUUGAAAAUGUUGAGGAAGAAUCGUGAUGAUGGCUUUUUCACUCCACUUUCACGAGCAUUUCUUGAAAUUCAUUCACACACACACACACACAUACACGCAGAACGGCUACGGAGAGGCAGAAUCGAAUCGUCUUUGCUCUCAGUACAAAUUCCGUCCGAGUGACAAGUACGUGCCGUUAAUGCCGCUCAAUAUGAACAUAUGAAUUCGAAAGCAACAGAAAUCGGAGCCCGGGAAUCGCUGAUUUUGUUCAGUGGAAGCUCCUGUACGAGGUAGCGAUGCGUCUAGAAAACAAAAUUGCUUCUUCGAGCCUCCGUUUCGAAAGCGAUUGGCAUUGAUUUCGCAGUAACAAUCAUUUUCUUCUUAUAAAUUUCAGUAACGAAUAUUCAUUUGAAAAAAAGUCGUAUUUAUGAUAGUUUCUCGAUAACAGAAGAUCCAACAUUGAAAAUCCUCCUCGUACAUACGAAAUUCAAAAUUCAUUUUUUCCGCAUGUGGGAUUCCGCGUCAUAAAAUGCGUAUACCAAGUUUUAUCGAUAACCACAGCAUUUGAAUUCACGCGUCAGUAACGAGUGAUGACGAUGCGGAAAUGAAAUUCGAUCUAUAGUGAUCCCUGGAUUUUGAAAUAGUGAUCGAAAAACAUAUCAAGGUUCACGGACAAUUGAACAUUUUCAACGACCGACCGAAUUUUAAUGCAAAAAAACCUGUGGCCUUCUUCAUGUCUUUUUUCGAUAAAAAUGAUGUAUUAUUACGAAACUCAUAUACCUCCUUAAAGCGUAGCGACAAGAGUGACCAAGUGCUUUAUGUUAAUUCUUCAACGUGAAUCGAGUGUCAUUGAGAGAAUGGACUCUAGAGACAAAAACACUUGAGUGAUGUAUGCCGAAGUUAUUGAAAUCGUGCGUCGAUUCUUGUGCAGGUUUUCGUCUUUCCCUCUUUGUCUAACGACAUCUCUAUUUUUCAUAGAGAAAUUGGCGUUAUUUGUAACCGAAUUUUGUCGUUUGAAUAAUGAGAGCAGAGCGCACGAUUAAUCAGUCGGCGGUCGGGGGAUAGAAGAUUUUCUCGCGAGUAUAGAUUCGGCUGCCGGCUCUGUUAAAAAAAGAGAAAAUUGAAAAUAAUUCCAUCAUUGAAAUAAAUUUGGUAGAGAUAGCAAGAAUUUCACAUGUUCGUGCCAUCAUCAUAAAAGUUGGAAAAAAGUAACAAAGCACGAACCCCCGUUCGCUGACGGGUUGAAAAAUUCUAACUGUUUUUUUUUUAUCAAACUGCACUUGUUGGGGGAACGUUCGUUUCACGGGUAUAAAAAAGAAAAAAAAUACAGAGCCGAUAGCCCGACACAUUUUCUUUUUGCAGUAUUCAAUCAAAGCAAUGUCCGAUUGUGAGUAAAAGGUCGAAAGCCGAAAGUAUCGUGGUAGAUUCUGUUGACAGAGUUAGAAAAUAAGACAUGUGAUAUACUGUUUCAUAAUCAUUGUAUCGGCUGGAUAUUAUAGAUUAUAAUAAUAAAGAAAGGUUUUCGUCAGCAAGUAAUCGAAGCAAAGAAUUACGUUUGAAGAUUAUUGAACACAGCGAUUUCAAGAAAAUAUCAUUGUUAGCUGAAUAUUAGGGCAAACAAUAAUUCAACACGAGGCGAAUGAGAAACAAAUGUAUCGACAGAGUUUUUACUUCUGAAAACAAUCGUUGCAGUGUUAAAAAUUCUUGGUGAAUUAAACGUUUGGCACGAUUCUACAUACGAAAAAUUCCUAAUGUAUUAUGACGAUCCUAUUGGAACAUACGUUUGGAGUUUUCUUUUUUCUUUAAAAAAUUUUCCACAAAUUUGAUCACGCACGUACACUGUGAGACGCAUCAACUACAAGAUUAGCAUUAUAUUAGUUUUAUAAUAUGUUUUUUUCGUUGACACAGGAUGAAAAAAUUAUAAAGAAGUACUGACGAAUGAAUUCCUCCUGUUUAGUAUCAUUCGUUGCCCUCAUCAACAUUCACAGUAAUAUAGCAAUGAAAUUUCAGGAUGUACUAGCGAGUCAACAAAUAUUUCGUUCGUUUAAGAUGUUACGGGUUAAGGUACGAGCGGACCAUUGCAUGUUGAUCGUUGAACAAUGAAUAAUAUAAUUCUUUGCUGUUUCAUUCGUUAAAUAUUGAAUAAUAAAUGGCUUAUAUAACAAGAA